CAGUAGCCGCGGUAAUACGUAGGUGGCAAGCGUUGUCCGGAAUUAUUGGGCGUAAAGGGCUCGCAGGCGGUUUCUUAAGUCUGAUGUGAAAGCCCCCGGCUCAACCGGGGAGGGUCAUUGGAAACUGGGAAACUUGAGUGCAGAAGAGGAGAGUGGAAUUCCACGUGUAGCGGUGAAAUGCGUAGAGAUGUGAAGGAACACCAGUGGCGAAGGCGACUCUCUGGUCUGUAACUGACGCUGAGGAGCGAAAGCGUGGGGAGCGAACAGGAUUAGAUACCCGUGUAGUCCCUGUCUCUUAUAC
Molecule: ribosomal RNA, 301 nt
Filed under: uncultured bacterium
Lineage: Bacteria
Description: partial 16S ribosomal RNA
Rfam family: Bacterial small subunit ribosomal RNA
Source: RNAcentral